GACGAACGCUGGCGGCGUGCUUAACACAUGCAAGUCGAACGCUGAAGCUCAGCUUGCUGGGUGGAUGAGUGGCGAACGGGUGAGUAACACGUGAGUAACCUGCCCUCUUCUUUGGGAUAACGCCCGGAAACGGGUGCUAAUACUGGAUAUUCACUGAUUCUCGCCUGGGGGUUGGUGGAAAGGUUUUUUCUGGUGGGGGAUGGGCUCGCGGCCUAUCAGCUUGUUGGUGGGGUGAUGGCCUACCAAGGCUUUGACGGGUAGCCGGCCUGAGAGGGUGACCGGUCACAUUGGGACUGAGAUACGGCCCAGACUCCUACGGGAGGCAGCAGUGGGGAAUAGUGCACAAUGGGCGAAAGCCUGAUGCAGCGACGCCGCGUGAGGGAGGGAGGCCUUCGGGGUGGAAACCUCUUUCGCUCAUGGUCAAGCCGCAGCUUUGGGUUGUGGUGAGGGUAGUGGGUAAAGAAGCGCCGGCUAACUACGUG
This 482-nucleotide ribosomal RNA is filed under the name uncultured bacterium. Its description in RNAcentral is "partial 16S ribosomal RNA". It matches the Rfam family "Bacterial small subunit ribosomal RNA", at positions 28 to 507 of the family's 1533-position model. The record is from RNAcentral.